Molecule: ribosomal RNA, 498 nt
Filed under: uncultured bacterium
Lineage: Bacteria
Description: partial 16S ribosomal RNA
Rfam family: Bacterial small subunit ribosomal RNA
Source: RNAcentral
GAUGAACGCUGGCGGCGUGCCUAAUACAUGCAAGUCGAGCGAACAGACGAGGAGCUUGCUCCUCUGACGUUAGCGGCGGACGGGUGAGUAACACGUGGAUAACCUACCUAUAAGACUGGGAUAACUUCGGGAAACCGGAGCUAAUACCGGAUAAUAUAUUGAACCGCAUGGUUCAAUAGUGAAAGACGGUUUUGCUGUCACUUAUAGAUGGAUCCGCGCCGCAUUAGCUAGUUGGUAAGGUAACGGCUUACCAAGGCAACGAUGCGUAGCCGACCUGAGAGGGUGGACGGCACACACUGGAACUGAGACACGGUCCAGACUCCUACGGGAGGCAGCAGUAGGGAAUCUUCCGCAAUGGGCGAAAGCUUGACGGAGCAACGCCGCGUGAGUGAUGAAGGUCUUCGGAUCGUAAAACUCUGUUAUUAGGGAAGAACAAAUGUGUAAGUAACUAUGCACGUCUUGACGGUACCUAAUCAGAAAGCCACGGCUAACUACGUG